RNAcentral lists this long non-coding RNA (941 nucleotides) under Heterocephalus glaber (naked mole-rat). RNAcentral's name for it is "lncRNA (ENSHGLG00000040231.1)". The record is from RNAcentral. Lineage: Eukaryota; Metazoa; Chordata; Mammalia; Rodentia; Bathyergidae.
CAGCGUGCGCGCUGAGUUCCUUUGGCUUUAGAGGCCAAAAAGCGCAUGGGAGCCAAUGCGACCACGAGUGGCUUCGAAUUAGAAUGGGGAGGUGCCGCGCAGCGUCAAGACAGGGAUUUUUCUCAAGAGUUGUGAAGCUGCACGAAGAGAAGUUGAAGUAGGAAUCAAGCAAAGUAAAAACCUUGGCCAAUGGGGAUAGUGCUAAAAUCUCCUUCCGGCUGCCCCUCCAAUUGGGAACCCAGUCUGAACAUUACCCCUUGCCUUUCACAGCUGACAAAGCUGUGUGAAGGAGUGUCACAGCAACAGCAGAACUGUCAAGAAAGGACCAAGGAAAGAAGAAGGGGCAUUAUGUACCUAGAGAAAGAGUUCCCAAGAUUGAGCCUAAAUCUGCCAUCUUCCCUGGAGUCUGCCCAAACCAAGGAAAAUAAAGUCACAACUUCUGGUCCUUCACAUGUGAGCGAAGCCAUCUUGGAUUAUUGGCCCCAGUGGAGCUUCCUGAUGGGAGGAGAGGCUGCAGUGGUUCUGAGGGGCAGGUUGGGUCUCCCUGCUCUCCAGCCAAUAACGCAGAGACACAUUUUGAAUCUGCCAGGCAUUGAGUCUGUGUGAUUCCAGGAGCUGCAGGAUAUCACCACGCUGAAGCAGGAACAGACCCAGGGCAGCCCACUUACCUGAAGAGGCACUCUGUCCUUCAACUUUCAAGCUUCCUGCCCUCAAAGAUAUACAAGAUGAUUUUUCCAGAUCAUUAUUUGUUCAAUAUUGGUUUGGGGGACCUUUCUGAAACAAAUCGCAUCCUCUGGUGUCUUGUUGGUGCUUGAGAUGCUUUUUUAAGUUACAUGGAAAAAUGUUUAAGUGCUUUUCAGUUUUGUUUUGGUUGAGUUCUACUGUAUUUGAAUAUUAUUGUAGUUUUUUUCCCCUUGCAUUGUUCUUUGAGUGGUUUUAAU